This 520-nucleotide unclassified non-coding RNA is filed under the name uncultured Glomus. RNAcentral describes it as "SSU rRNA". It matches the Rfam family "Eukaryotic small subunit ribosomal RNA", at positions 569 to 1092 of the family's 1831-position model. Lineage: Eukaryota; Fungi; Glomeromycota; Glomeromycetes; Glomerales; Glomeraceae. The record is from RNAcentral.
AGCAGCCGCGGUAAUUCCAGCUCCAAUAGCGUAUAUUAAAGUUGUUGCAGUUAAAAGCUCGUAGUUGAAUUUCGGGGUUAGUAGGUUGGUCAUGCCUCUGGUAUGUACUGGUCUCACUGAUUCCUCCUUCCUGAUGAACCUUAAUGCCAUUAAUUUGGUGUUUUGGGGAAUUUGGACUGUUACUUUGAAAAAUUAGAGUGUUUAAAGCAAGCUAACGCUUGAAUACAUUAGCAUGGAAUAAUGAAAUAGGACGUUCGAUCCUAUUUUGUUGGUUUCUAGGAUUGACGUAAUGAUUAAUAGGGAUAGUUGGGGGGCAUUAGUAUUCAAUUGUCAGAGGUGAAAUUCUUGGAUUUAUUGAAGACUAACUACUGCGAAAGCAUUUGCCAAGGAUGUUUUCAUUAAUCAAGAACGAAAGUUAGGGAUCGAAGACGAUCAGAUACCGUCGUAGUCUUAACCAUAAACUAUGCCGACUAGGGAUCGGAUGAUGUUAAUUUUUAAUGUACUCAUUCGGCGCCUUACG